Molecule: ribosomal RNA, 858 nt
Filed under: uncultured bacterium
Lineage: Bacteria
Description: bacterial SSU rRNA
Rfam family: Bacterial small subunit ribosomal RNA
Source: RNAcentral
GGCUCAGGAUGAACGCUGGCGGCGUGCUUAAUACAUGCAAGUCGAACGGAGUGUAGCAAUACACUUAGUGGCGAACGGGCGAGUAACGAGUUGGUGAUCUGCCCCGAAGUGUGGGAUAACAGUCCGAAAGGAUUGCUAAUACCUCAUGUGGUUGCCGGGUUUAGAAGCUGGCAACUAAAGCAGUAAUGCGCUUCGGGAGGAACCUGCUUCCCAUCAGCUAGUUGGUGAGGUAACGGCUCACCAAGGCUACGACGGGUAAGGGACCUGAGAGGGUGGUCCCUCGCAAUGGCACUGAAACACGGGCCAUACACCUACGGGUGGCAGCAGUAGGGAAUAUUGGGCAAUGGGCGAAAGCCUGACCCAGCAACGCCGCGUGUGCGAUGAAGGCCUUCGGGUCGUAAAGCACUUUUCUGUGGAAUGAGAAUGGACAGUACCUCAGGAAUAAGUCUCGGCUAACUACGUGCCAGCAGCCGCGGUAAAACGUAGGAGACGAGCGUUAUCCGGAUUUACUGGGCGUAAGCGUGUGCAGGCGGUUCGGCAAGUUGGAUGUGAAAUCUCCCGGCUCAACUGGGAGGGGUCGUUCAAUACUACCGAACUUGAGGUCAUCAGAGGAAGGUGGAAUUCCGGGUGUAGUGGUGAAAUGCGUAGAUAUCCGGAGGAACACCAGUGGCGAAGGCGGCCUUCUGGGAUGAUCCUGACGCUCAGACACGAAAGCUAGGGGAGCGAACGGGAUUAGAGACCCCGGUAGUCCUAGCUGUAAACGAUGUAGACUUGGCGUCGGAGGGUUCAAAACCUUCGGUGUCGUAGCUAACGCGAUAAGUCUACCGCCUGGGGACUACGGCCGCAAGGUUAAAACUC